Helianthus annuus (common sunflower) is the source of this 958-nucleotide long non-coding RNA. RefSeq lists it as uncharacterized. NCBI's taxonomy places the organism in Eukaryota, Viridiplantae, Streptophyta, Magnoliopsida, Asterales, Asteraceae. The record is from RefSeq and is a predicted model, not a curated record. The transcript has 2 exons.
CUCCUUCAUUUCAAAACCCUAGCCCCCUUAUCACUCCCCCCACUCCUUUGAAUCUCUGCAUAAACUUAAUGAACACAAACGAGAGUCACAUCACAACAUCAUCUCUCAAAACCUCUCUCCCUCUCUUGUGCAAACACCGGCGACCGGCGUUUUUCCGGCCGUCCUCCCCGGCGUCGGUUCCGGCCGACCACGCACAGGUCCUUCUCGAUCCCCUCUGGCCACGCACAACCUGUUUCACUCUCCCUCUUGAUCCUCUCCGGCUAACACACUGGCCGAGACCCGGCCGUUCGUUUUUCCAACUAAGGGUUCUCCGACGAGACACCCAAUCCGUUCUUCUUAAACCACCACAUCAAACCACCCUUUCCCCUCCAAUAACCGGCUGACCACCAUCAUAUGGUAGUGGCACACGGUGGCAGUUGCAAGAGAGAGAGAGAUCAGAGCGAGAUACGCGACGAGAGAAGAGGCGAAGCCGUUCGCGGCGGCAGCGGGGUCUCGAUAGUCCAGCGACGACAGCGGCUUGGCUCCGACAGUUUAGGUCUCGAGUUUGGGCUCCAGUUUGGAUUGUUUGGCUCCGGCUCCGGUUCGGGUUUCGCAACACAGUCUCGGUUCAGAUUCGGUUCAAUUGGUUCAGAUCCGGUUCAGUCGGUUCAGAAUCGGAUCGAUUAGUUCAGAUCCGGUUCAGUCGAGUUCAAUCGGUUAUCCCUCACUUCUGUUCUUUUAGUUGGAUUCCCGUCAAACGGUCACUGUCGGAUUAAACCUAGUCAAAGCUGGUCAGCCGAGGCCCCGGUGCAGUCUGGUUACGGGUUCGGGUCAUCGGGUUAAACACGAUACUUAGUAUUUUCACGACACAAAUAUUUCAAUUAUAUUGUAUUUAAAUUUUGUUAUCGCAAACCCGAACUUUAUAUAAUUUGUAAAUUUAGAUGGAAAAUAUAUAGAUAAUUAUAUUGUUUAGCUUGUU